AUUAGAUACCCUGGUAGUCCACACCGUAAACGAUGAUUACUAGAUUUUGGCCUUAUGGUCAGAGUCCAAGCGAAAGUGUUUAGUAAUCCACCUGGGGAGUACGUCCGCAAGGAUGAAACUCAAAGGAAUUGACGGGGGCCCGCACAAGCGGUGGGGCAUGUGGUUUAAUUCGAUGAUACGCGAGGAACCUUACCUGGGCUUGAAAGUUAGUGACCGCUCCUGAAAGGGAGCUUUCCGCAAGGACACGAAACUAGGUGCUGCAUGGCUGUCGUCAGCUCGUGCCGUGAGGUGUCGGAUUAAGUUCCAUAACGAGCGCAACCCCUAUUUCUAGUUGCCAGCGAGUAAUGUCGGGGACUCUAGAGAAACUGCCCGUGUAAGCGGUGAGGAAGGUGGGGAUGACGUCAAGUCAUCACGGCCCUUACGUCCAGGGCGACACACGUGCUACAAUGGUAGGGACAGUGAGUUGCAAGCUAGUAAUAGUAAGCUAAUCUACAAACCCUAUCUCAGUUCGGAUCGAGGUCUGCAACCCGACCUCGUGAAGCUGGAAUCGCUAGUAAUCGCAUAUCAGCCAUGAUGCGGUGAAUACGUUCCCGGGCCUUGUACACACCGCCCGUCAAGCCAUGGAAGUUGGGAGCGCCUAAAGUCGGUGACCGUAAGGAGCCGCCUAAGGUGAAACCAGUAACUGGGGCUAAGUCGUAACAAGGUAUC
This 708-nucleotide ribosomal RNA is filed under the name uncultured Flavobacterium sp. RNAcentral describes it as "bacterial SSU rRNA". It matches the Rfam family "Bacterial small subunit ribosomal RNA", at positions 777 to 1500 of the family's 1533-position model. The record is from RNAcentral. Lineage: Bacteria; Pseudomonadati; Bacteroidota; Flavobacteriia; Flavobacteriales; Flavobacteriaceae.